This 213-nucleotide unclassified non-coding RNA is filed under the name Hevea brasiliensis (rubber tree). Lineage: Eukaryota; Viridiplantae; Streptophyta; Magnoliopsida; Malpighiales; Euphorbiaceae. The record is from RNAcentral.
AGGAGAUUACAAGAAGAAAGAAGAAUUAAAGAUAGGGUUUUGAAGCUUUAACAAAAGGUUAGUAUGUUAAAUUGUUACUUUUCCAUUCAAAUGCAUGUUUAGGUAAUUAAGUGAGCUAAUAACUUGAUUUAAAUGAAACAAAUAUGGGGAAAGAAUUAAAUUGAAAUUUUGGGCAGCUUGAGAGGAGUGUGGUUUGCAUGAAUAUGAUGCAAU